Molecule: ribosomal RNA, 337 nt
Filed under: uncultured bacterium
Lineage: Bacteria
Description: bacterial SSU rRNA
Rfam family: Bacterial small subunit ribosomal RNA
Source: RNAcentral
GAUGAACGCUAGCUACAGGCUUAACACAUGCAAGUCGAGGGGAAACGACAUCGAAAGCUUGCUUUUGAUGGGCGUCGACCGGCGCACGGGUGAGUAACGCGUAUCCAACCUGCCCACCACUUGGGGAUAACCUUGCGAAAGUAAGACUAAUACCCAAUGACGUCUCUAGAAGACAUCUGAAAGAGAUUAAAGAUUUAUCGGUGAUGGAUGGGGAUGCGUCUGAUUAGCUUGUUGGCGGGGUAACGGCCCACCAAGGCGACGAUCAGUAGGGGUUCUGAGAGGAAGGUCCCCCACAUUGGAACUGAGACACGGUCCAAAACUCCUACGGGAGGCAGCA